GGACGCUGCUGAGGCCACAGCACGUCAGGCUGGAGGCACAGAACUUCCACGUCUUGCUGCGCUGGGAGCCAGACCCCAGCUCACCCAGCUCUGCCACCUAUGAGGUGGAGUGGAGGAACAGCAAUUGUUGGCCCCCCCAAGCUGUCUUGGCUGCUCCAGGACCAAAUCCUCAGCGUAAACAUCAUCACACCACCCACUCCCUACCAGAGAAGGACUGGUUCCUACAAGCCAGUCAACCGAGUGCUGCUGAAGCUGUGGUACUGGCUGCACCUGUACGAGGGGGACCUGCUUGUCCAGCAGGUGCCCUGCAAACGGAGCAGUGAGAAAGUGCCUUGCACCUUUGGGCACCUGAAGCCCAGCACACAGUACUGUGUCCGGACGGUGGCUGCAGACAUUGCCAGGGAGCGGAGCCAGGAGGCUGAGCAGUGCCUGGUGACUCCAGCAGCCCCCUCAGGUGGGAGCACUCUCACCAACUCAGCUGGCACGGUGGCAUCUCAGAUCCUGCUCACAGCACAAACUUGUGUGGAGGUGUGAAUACCUCACCCCCAGCCACUGUGGUCAGGGUUGUGGCCCGGUGCUGCCCAGUGGGGACCUCUCAUGAUGAUGCUUUCUUGUCAUCUGCCUUGGGCUUGCCUCCUGAAACAUCCCAGUGUGACAUGGAUGGGAAGCACUGACAGAGAGUGGGGUGGGAGGGAUGUGUUUGAGUGACCCCUCAGCCUGCUGUGAUGUCCUGCCAGGCUUUCCAUGGGUCUCUGCUGUGCUGAGUGCCUUCUUCCUGCUGCUGCCUCUGAGUGUGGCCGGGAUGUGCUUCGUGCAGCUGCAUGUCUUUCCCAGUCCUCAGGAGAUGUGCCUCCCAAAAGCACUGGCUCUCCAGAACAGCGAGCUGAAUGUGGCCAUGCAGGUGCCUCCACUGCAGCUUGAGGAGGACCCACUGGCCCUGCUCCUGCAGACUGUGCUCCCCUCCCACGGGCCAUCCACAGCUGUGCAGGCAUCAGCCACGGUCCCACGGCUCCUGCGAGGCCUUGUCCAGGAUGUGAGUGGCUACUGUGCCAACGGGUUUGGCCCAGACUGCAUUGAGGGAAGGGACCCGUCCUGCACCCACAGUCAGCUGGGGCAUGCCUUAGGUUCUCAGGUCCCCUCACAGCUGGAGAAGGAUGAGGAGGCAGGUGAUGGGGAUGAUGUGCCAGAGCAGCUGGUGCUAAUGGGACUGGCUGGACACAGCUACAUAGGUGACAAGGACAGCCAGAUACCUAAAAUGUGGCUCCCCCUGCACCUCCAGCUUUAUUCUAAAUGCCAGUGCCCAGUUCUGGGAGCAGACAGCCACCUUCCUCUGCCCGUGCCGAGCAGAAGCUGCAGCCAGGACUGCCUGCAGGAGAGUCCGGGGACGGCUCGGCACUGGAUCCGGCUCAGCUCCGUGAGGCUCCUGCCCAGCACGGAGACGGAAGGCGGGCAGCGCCCCUGUGCUCCCCAGGCUCUGCGGGGCGGCGGGAGUGACCCAGAGCUAGGGGACAGCGCCGUGCAGCGAGGCUCCCCGGGGCAGGCCGAGCCGUGUCCGUGCCCGCUGCCCCCCUCGCCCCGCGGCCUGCGGGCAGCUCCCUUCCCCGGCUACGAGCCCCGGGCCCCGGCGGGCAGCGAGCCUUAGCGGCCCAGCCGAGCCCAGGCCGCCUCCCGCAGCUCCCCGGCCGGAACGGCUGUCUGUCUGUGUCUGUCUGUCUGUCCGUCUGUCUGUGUCUAUCCGUCUCUCCGUCUGUCUGUCUGUCUGUCCCAGCCUGCUGGGGCGUGCUGCGGGUGGGACCGGGCAGGCUCCAAGGGCAGGCACAGGCCCGUUCCGGGCACGGCCGCCAAAGACGGGCGAGAUCCAGAGCUUUCCUCUGGGGAUUCGGUGCUCUUGAGACACCUCAUAAGGAGCAUGGAGCAACGCUGAAGCCCCAAACCUCUUAUCUAGAGAUCUGUCUGUAUGUGUGCAUGUAUGGUACAGUAUCUAUACUAAUGUAACACUCAUAUAUACAUAUAUAUUUGUAAAGCUCUUUAAUGAAAAAAAUGUUGGGGGUUUUACUUCUGUGGAAAUGUUGAUUCUGUGCUGGAGUUGUUUUUAAAUAUCACUAAUUUAUUCUAGAAAAC
Molecule: long non-coding RNA, 2121 nt
Filed under: Zonotrichia albicollis (white-throated sparrow)
Lineage: Eukaryota; Metazoa; Chordata; Aves; Passeriformes; Passerellidae
Description: lncRNA (ENSZALG00000013449.1)
Source: RNAcentral